UAGGGAAUCUUCGGCAAUGGACGAAAGUCUGACCGAGCAACGCCGCGUGAGUGAAGAAGGUUUUCGGAUCGUAAAACUCUGUUGGUAGAGAAGAACGCUGGUGAGAGUGGAAAGCUCAUCAAGUGACGGUAACUACCCAGAAAGGGACGGCUAACUACGUGCCAG
This 165-nucleotide ribosomal RNA is filed under the name uncultured bacterium. Its description in RNAcentral is "partial 16S rRNA". It matches the Rfam family "Bacterial small subunit ribosomal RNA", at positions 355 to 511 of the family's 1533-position model. The record is from RNAcentral.